ACUAUUUGAAAUUCUACAGAUGGAGACUCUCAAAGGGUACUUUUCCCUUUAACUUUCUCUCUUUGUUUCUAAUUUUGUUUUUUAGUAGUUUUAAUUGUUCAGGGUUUGACUCAAACCGUUUGAGAGCUUGGUGUUUACUUGCAACCACAUUCUUGGAUUCUCUAACACAAGGUUGUAAGGCUGAAUAUCGUGUGAAUCAGAUAAGGAAUAACUAUUUUAACUUAUCUUGAAUCAAUAUACAAUUAUAUUAAUCGAAAUAAGCUAGAGAAAGGUUUAUUUGUCUGUGGUAUAAGCAGUGGCAUAAGUUGCUGGAAGAACUUGCACGAUAGAGUAAAACAAGAAUAUCAACUAGCCACGAACUCCUACUUCUUAAAGCACCGCAAUCCGUAGCUGUGAAAAAAUGUGAGAGAUCAAGUUCUAGAGAAAAACCAAAAGCUAAGCAAGAUUCAGAUUUGUGGAAGUAAAGCUUUUGCAUGAUAAUUCAAUAAAAUCAUAUUCAGAUCUAUCGCAAUGGAGCAUUAAAAUGGUCGUGCGUCAUAUUUGCCCAUUCGAGUCCAAAGUCAAGAUCUAUUUAGAGCAAUCAAAAUACACAUUUUGAAAAGAAGUCUUCUUUCAUCCUUGCACGGUGAAGAACAAAGACUCUGCUUCCCUUUCCAGGAUUCUUAUUCGUUUGGUUGUUGAAAGAUACCAAGAACUCUCAUCAAAACUAGAGUACAAUUUUCCAUUGAAGUAGCAAGAGUAGAUCUAUGGAGGUGCUUUCCAGGAUUUUGAAGUAACGUGAAGCUGAAUAUUGAAAAUAUGCAAAGACAAAAAGGCUCGAGCGGGAAUCAGGGAGGUUCACUUCCAUUGACUUACAUCGACAGCAGAAGGCAGUAGUCAAGGUGCUCUCCUGAUUAGGUGGUGCUAGAGAAAACGAAGGAAAGCCUAGGUGCAUGGUGCAACAUAUGGUAAUUUGUUGGAUUGUUGCCCCCAAGACAUGAAAGUACUGAAACCAUUGGAAGGGCUUUGACUCUCGGUGUUAACAUCAAGAUGAUCACUGGCCAGAUAACCAGUUGUAAACUUGGAAUGGGAAUAAACAUGUAUCCAUCUUCGGCUUUUCUUGGUACGCACAAGUGGUAGGAACCAACAAACCCCAUGGAUGAAUAUGUCUCUCAAGUCUCAAUGGUUGUAAGUUUUGUCACGUAAGAGACAUGGAGAACAUACCUGGCAGAGAAUCAAGUGAAUUCCUCCAAAGAACUGAUCAGAUUAGAAAGAGCUAGUGUCUUGCGGCUGAAUAGAAUGGGAGAUAUGUAAAGGAAGGAACAAAUACUUUUGACAAACUAUUUAGGCCAUCGUCAAAGAUUUUGCAACAUACACAUCCAUUAAUUAGUAUUCAGUAGACAGUGGAAAGAAGUGUCUAAAGGAAACUUGAACCCAGAUGUCUGCAUAGAGGUAAAUCCACAUAAGAUCUCACACCCUCGGCCAAGUUCACAUCACACAUUAGAAUUAUAGAACCUUGACGUGUCUUUAUUCGGUGGAGCAUGGAAUUCUUCUCAUUGUAGAUCGCUGCUUGACAUUGUUUGACAAUCCACUGGUCGACUCUCUUCACACAACUUACAAUGAGCUCAAGUUACAGAAAGAAUGCAAGAACCAGACUUAAAAAUGGGUGUGUUCGGCAUUCUAAAUCAAUGUCACAAAGGAGACAAGCGGUAAGAACCACCAAACCCCAUUGACGAAGAUGGUCUCCUGGAAGAUUUGGCACGUAAGAGACGUAGAGAACAUACUUGUUGGAGCAUCAAAUGAUUUCCUCCAAAGAAAUUGAUUAGAUUGGGAAGACUAGUGUCUCGCGGCUGAAUAGGUAAGCAUGCUUGGAGCAUAACGGCUAGCGGCAAUGUCCAACUGCCAUUAGGAACAACCUGAAAAUCUACAUCGACCUCUUUGAUAGCGUGAUAUAGUCAUGUGUGCAUGCAUACAUUCAUAUGUGCAUACAUUCAUACAUCCAUACAUUCAUGCAUACAUUCAUACAUUCAUACAUUCAUACAUUCAUACAUCCAUACAUGCAUGCAUACAUUCAUACAUGCAUACAUUCAUACAUUCAUACAUCCAUACAUGCAUACAUUCAUAUAUACAUGCAUGCUUACAUUCAUGCAUGAAUCUAUGCAUAUUUGCUUUCUUGAUUUAUUGAUUGCUUAUUUACUUAUUUGAUUUCUUAACUAGCUUGCUUGUUUUUUUUUUCUCUCUGUUUACUUACAUUUAUAACUUGUUUACUUCUUGUUUGUUUCUUUGAUUAUUUGAUCGUUACUCACUCCAUAUUGCUUCAUUUCAUUUCUUAAUCUGUGUGUUUACUUCCUUCUUAUUCCCUUCAUUGUUUGCUCAGACCGUACAUGCAAUUCACUUGUUUACUUAUCGUCAAUUUCUUGAUUUCUUUGAUUAUUUGGCAGUCGCUUAUUCAACUGAUUCAUUCAUGGCUUAGCUCUUUCACAUGUUUCCUCUUUGAUUCUUUGUAUCUUUACUUCUGUAGUUGUUUUCUUACAUGCUUACUUUACUUGUUUUAUUGUUUCUUUCAUUUUUUUGUUUACUCACAUCAUUGUUUAUUUAUUUAUUUGCUUCUAUUUAGUUAUAUACUUCUUUCAUUGUGUAUAAAUUUUUUGAAUUUAUACAAAUGUACUCAUAUAAUUUUGACAACAAUAUGAAAAAUCGAAACACUAAUAAAUAUC
RNAcentral lists this small RNA (2696 nucleotides) under Arabidopsis thaliana (thale cress). RNAcentral's name for it is "putative long intergenic non-coding RNA". Lineage: Eukaryota; Viridiplantae; Streptophyta; Magnoliopsida; Brassicales; Brassicaceae. The record is from RNAcentral.